Long non-coding RNA from Sinocyclocheilus grahami, 1725 nucleotides. RefSeq lists it as uncharacterized. Lineage: Eukaryota; Metazoa; Chordata; Actinopteri; Cypriniformes; Cyprinidae. The transcript is spliced from 3 exons. The record is from RefSeq and is a predicted model, not a curated record.
GUUCCCUUGAUGUGGAUGAUGCCUCUGUGGUCGGACUCGUUCAUCCGGACCGCACUAACCCUUUAGCUGCUGGUGACGGUACAGACAUGUCAAUUUCAAGAGGUGCGAUUGGUCGGAUUCCCAGUAUUGUCAUCACCUCUGAGUCUAGCCCUUUCCUGCCCUCGGUACGGCCCAGCUACAGAAGCAGCCGCUCAAGCACGUCCCGUGCUGGGGCAAAUCCCCCCAGGAGAGACUCUCGUGGAGGAGUCCAGCAGGGGGCAGUGCAUCUCUCCACUGCUGCUAAAACACCUGAAUCUGCUCACUUAGACAACCCUUAGUGCUUAUACCUCUUCACUCGCCAUCUGAAACUUACCUUCAAGCUUUGUAUUGGGGUUCAGUAUUUUUUGUGAGUUAUCCUGCUCUGUGGUUUAGACCUUUAGUAAAGGGAACUUGAAAUGAAGACAAAACCUGAUAGAUUAAUCAGUGCUCUGUAUCACAGAAGGUAAAAUAUGAAAGUGUGUGACUUUCAUAUUUUACCUUCUGUGAUACAGAGCACUGAUCACAAACAUUGAUGGUCACACAUUGAUGUCUUUUACAUGUGUAAUACGUUUUUAUAAUGACCUCAACUGUUACACACACAAUGUCCAGCACCUUUGUUUCCCUCUAUUUUAAGGAAAUAUUUAACAGACAGUGCUUUGAAUCAGGCAAAGUUACUGCUCAAUCCGCGGAGACUUGGAUGGAAGGAGAGAAAGCAUCUUAUAUUAUUUUAGUCUGGUCAUCAAUGUCAAAUGGCAUGUACAGGAUCGUCUUAAGAGGUAUGUGAGUUUUGCUCAUGAGACACUGAAAUGCUUGCUUCCACAGAACUUCAAGGUAUGCAAUAUGAAGCCAUAUUACAGAAACAUCCUAACUCAGAAUUCAGUUUUAUCUGUUGUUGAGUAACCAUGGUUAUAUCAUUUUGAAUAUUAAACUUCUCAGAUCUUCAGACUUAAAGCUACACUAUGUAACUUUUUUUAUAUAUAAAAAAAACAGCAAAUUGUUAUUGAUGAGAGAGUGUAAAAAAUGCAUCUUCCAAGCCAUAACUUUUCUUUAUAAUACUGAUUUAUAAUUUAGACAGGAAAUCUUAUACAUAUGUUAUUCUCCUGUGCUUGUCACGUCAUAUCUGUAUACAAAGUAAACCUCUGGUAUUAAAACAUAAAAACUUGUCCAUCCUCUCUGGUAAGAAACCCUGUAUCCAUGUGCACACCAGUGCCUCAGACCACAUUCAUUCGCACAGAGACAGAGCUGAAGCACAACCAAAGCAAUGUUCUUCUGCAAGACGCAUGCAGAUUUAUUGUGUAACCUCUAGAGGGCCACAAGUUCCUUAGGGCUUGUUCCUGUACCCACACUUAUAUUGGGAUUUUACAUUGGAAUUAAUUAAUUUUCUUCCAAAAAGUCCAUAGUGUAGCUUUAAGAUAGGAAGUUUCUGUCAUUUUGCCUCUCACCAUUAAUUUCUGGUUUGUCAUUUUUGACGUUUUUUCUUUUUAGUUUCACUAUAUGUGCGGAAGUUGUAAAUGUGUGUUUCUAAUCAUAAAGGUCUUGUUAUGUUAUAUUUGGAUCCUGAAAGUAACAUUCUGGUGCAACAGAAUCCUGAGAACUUCAGCGUUAAGAAUGUGGAAUUUCAUUUGUUAUCAUAGUUUGCAAGUAUGGGCUAUCACAUUAUUGAAAAUAGAAUCAGCACCUCAAUUCACCAUAAAGCAUCUGUUUAUC